Molecule: long non-coding RNA, 1120 nt
Organism: Coturnix japonica (Japanese quail)
Lineage: Eukaryota; Metazoa; Chordata; Aves; Galliformes; Phasianidae
Source: RefSeq, a predicted model, not a curated record
UGCCUCCAGCAGCCAUGCCUUCCCUCCAAGACUCACCCCCUACAGCUGUUAGCAAUGGCCCAUCAGGUGCAGGAGACACACCUGAUGGCUCUGCCCACAGCUGUUCCUAACAGCCUCAGGUUAUAACAGCCUGAGCCAGCUCCUCAGCAGCUCUUUGGACACUGCAGUACGUGUGGAGUUCUUCAGAUGCAAGCAGCAGCAGAUGGAGCAUGGUGGCUGAGGUUAGUGGUGAGGGGAAGGAGUGGGUUCUGAGCUUUGGUCCCAUCUUCGGUUUCAGAUGGGCUUUGUGCUUCUCUCUUGAUAAGUGGAGGCUGAAUCCUGCUUUCUUGGGGCUUGAAAGCAGGUUUGCUGUGCUGAUUUGCAGGCUUGAGAGAUGGGGGUAAGUGCUGUGCUUGUAGGACUUGGAUUACCCUUGUCUGGUUUGGGGGUUAGGAAAUACUGGCUUCAAAAAGGCUCCUUUAACAGCUCACAACAUGGAUUAAGUAACGUGUUUUGGAGGCUCAGAACCUAGCUUGUUUGGUAGAUGUUGGGGCUCAAACUGCAGGCUGAGUUAUGUGCUCUUCAGUCUUUAUACAGGGCUCAUUGGGUGCUAGAAAUGAAGGUCGAGUGCUGUGUUUUUAGGGCUCAGAAGGUUCAUUUGUCCAGUUUGGGGCUGAGGUGGAAACAAAAGGAAAGCCACACGUUAACAGCUUCGGGGCACUAGUAACAUAUGGAGGCGAGAAGGUCGAGCCCUCAAAAUGGCCGCAACGCUGGCUCACGACGCCGGCGCCAUCUGGUGGCUGCUUUGGGAACUACAGCGCCGCCGAUGCCUCGUGAUUUUCUAGAAGCUUCGGAGGUAACAGCCAGCUUGUGGCAAGGCUUGGGCGUGAGGGUGGAUGUGUGCUGGUCAAUGAAGUACUAUGUAUGCUCUACUGAAAGCACUUAGGUGCAUUGUGUCCUUAGAGAUGAGACUGGCAUGCAGCACUAGCGAGGAGAACACACCCAGCAGUUUUAGUGGCGAGAGCUUCCGAGUUUCUCACGAGUCAAAAGGAGGUUGGGAAGACCAAGAAGUACUCCAGUCCAACCUUCUCUUUUGCAUACAGAGGCAGACAACUAGAUCCAGGUGUCUACCCUGAGGUGA